This is a long non-coding RNA of Morus notabilis, 408 nucleotides long. RefSeq lists it as uncharacterized. The transcript is spliced from 3 exons. Lineage: Eukaryota; Viridiplantae; Streptophyta; Magnoliopsida; Rosales; Moraceae. The record is from RefSeq and is a predicted model, not a curated record.
CGGAAAAGUUAAAACUAUACGAGUUCACGGCCUCCAUCUCCCUCAAUCUCUAAACCCUCAAUUGGAUCCAAACCGCCAUUGACGACCUGCUCUCGAACUCCGUCGAAUCUCGAUCUCAGAAGGGUUUCGUUUUCCACUCUGACAUGCUCGCUCUCUGCUAGGGUUUAUAUCCAAUUAUCGAUCUAACGGCCCGGAUCCUUGAAUUGAAGUGAAAAAUGGAAGGAGGAGGCAAUUUGGAGGCGUCGGUAGAGAAAUUGCUGAAUGUGGAGAAGCAAAUGAGGCUUGCCGGAGAUGUGGCGGGCACAAAGAAGGCCGUCACUGAGAUUCUUCAGCUCUGCUUUGAAGCACGCGCAUGGAAGACCCUCAAUGAGCAGAUUGCUGUCUUGUCCAAACGCCGGGGUCAACUUA